GCUGAAUUUCUGUUCGCAAGGUCACUUGUAACAAAAGCUGUAGUUACAGCUAGUGAAAUGAUUAGGCCUCCCGUUCGGCCAGUUGGAAGGCAAGAAAAUCGAAGCCUGAAGAGGGAGAUUGAGAAUUCAGAAUCAGAAGACGAUUAAGGCAUUUCUCUAUAGACAGCUUAGGUGAGAAAAUCAAAGUGUAAGAUUGCUUGUGGGGUUGAGUUUUCAGUCUCUUUUUUCUGAUUUUUCUUUUUUGUGAUUCUCGAGCUUCUACUCCGCUGCAGUAUAUAAGAAGACGGACAUGAUGAAAUAUUUAGUGAUGUACAUAAUAAUCGGAACAAGUGUUCGAUGUUAGGUGUUA
Neltuma alba is the source of this 349-nucleotide long non-coding RNA. RefSeq lists it as uncharacterized. The record is from RefSeq and is a predicted model, not a curated record. Lineage: Eukaryota; Viridiplantae; Streptophyta; Magnoliopsida; Fabales; Fabaceae. The transcript is spliced from 2 exons.